RNAcentral lists this long non-coding RNA (503 nucleotides) under Zea mays. Its description in RNAcentral is "drought responsive lncRNA". Lineage: Eukaryota; Viridiplantae; Streptophyta; Magnoliopsida; Poales; Poaceae. The record is from RNAcentral.
UGUUUUUCGGACCUUUCGGCAUGAAGCCUUCGUCUUAUUUCGUGGACCGAACUUGUAAUGAAAAACGAACUAGCAUCGCGAAGGGGCUACUAUUGGGGCCUUCUCCCUCCGAAGGUCCUCAAAACACUAAUUCAACGUCUGUUUUCUAUCUUGUUUCAUGUUUUGCAAGACUAGUGCCGAAGAUGAUCCACAGCCGAUGCUGUUAACAAACACAUACAGGAAGGUAGAACUUCGGGUAGUCGACGUGCAUACCCUACUAAUGAAGCUGGACUAGACCAUAAGGAGUCUUCGAGGCUCAUUUCGUCGAAGAUAGAAGGAAAAGACCACUGUACCCUUGGCAUGUAUAAUAGUCUAAAUGUGUAGGCUUAAGGGCAUAAUUGAAAAUUCAUCGAAAAUGUAUCCCACGCCUAUAAAUAGAGGAACAGUGCCAUGCAUUGUUCAGACUUUUUGUUCAAGGGUAGAAUUCAUUUCUCACUAUACGAAGCUGUAAUCUCUCUACCCCU